This 71-nucleotide transfer RNA is filed under the name Rhizosolenia fallax. RNAcentral describes it as "tRNA-Cys". It matches the Rfam family "tRNA". From Rfam's summary of the family: Transfer RNA (tRNA) molecules are approximately 80 nucleotides in length. Their secondary structure includes four short double-helical elements and three loops (D, anti-codon, and T loops). The record is from RNAcentral. Lineage: Eukaryota; Bacillariophyta; Coscinodiscophyceae; Rhizosoleniales; Rhizosoleniaceae.
GGCGGUAUGGCCAAGUGGUAAGGCAGCGGAUUGCAAAUCCGCUAUCCCCAGUUCAAAUCUGGGUGCCGCCU